This 856-nucleotide ribosomal RNA is filed under the name Pseudomonas sp. TA3. RNAcentral's name for it is "bacterial SSU rRNA". It matches the Rfam family "Bacterial small subunit ribosomal RNA", at positions 20 to 872 of the family's 1533-position model. Lineage: Bacteria; Pseudomonadati; Pseudomonadota; Gammaproteobacteria; Pseudomonadales; Pseudomonadaceae. The record is from RNAcentral.
UGGCUCAGAUUGAACGCUGGCGGCAGGCCUAACACAUGCAAGUCGAGCGGAUGAAGGGAGCUUGCUCCUUGAUUCAGCGGCGGACGGGUGAGUAAUGCCUAGGAAUCUGCCUGGUAGUGGGGGACAACGUCUCGAAAGGGACGCUAAUACCGCAUACGUCUACGGGAGAAAGCAGGGGACCUUUCGGGCCUUGCGCUAUCAGAUGAGCCUAGGUCGGAUUAGCUAGUUGGUGAGGUAAUGGCUCACCAAGGCGACGAUCCGUAACUGGUCUGAGAGGAUGAUCAGUCACACUGGAACUGAGACACGGUCCAGACUCCUACGGGAGGCAGCAGUGGGGAAUAUUGGACAAUGGGCGAAAGCCUGAUCCAGCCAUGCCGCGUGUGUGAAGAAGGUCUUCGGAUUGUAAAGCACUUUAAGUUGGGAGGAAGGGCAGUAAAUUAAUACUUUGCUGUUUUGACGUUACCGACAGAAUAAGCACCGGCUAACUCUGUGCCAGCAGCCGCGGUAAUACAGAGGGUGCAAGCGUUAAUCGGAAUUACUGGGCGUAAAGCGCGCGUAGGUGGUUUGUUAAGUUGGAUGUGAAAGCCCCGGGCUCAACCUGGGAACUGCAUUCAAAACUGACAAGCUAGAGUAUGGUAGAGGGUGGUGGAAUUUCCUGUGUAGCGGUGAAAUGCGUAGAUAUAGGAAGGAACACCAGUGGCGAAGGCGACCACCUGGACUGAUACUGACACUGAGGUGCGAAAGCGUGGGGAGCAAACAGGAUUAGAUACCCUGGUAGUCCACGCCGUAAACGAUGUCAACUAGCCGUUGGGAGCCUUGAGCUCUUAGUGGCGCAGCUAACGCAUUAAGUGACCGC